AAACUGUUGUUGGAGAUGACCUA
This 23-nucleotide non-coding RNA is filed under the name Arabidopsis thaliana (thale cress). Lineage: Eukaryota; Viridiplantae; Streptophyta; Magnoliopsida; Brassicales; Brassicaceae. The record is from RNAcentral.